Molecule: transfer RNA, 122 nt
Filed under: Trichoplax adhaerens
Lineage: Eukaryota; Metazoa; Placozoa; Uniplacotomia; Trichoplacea; Trichoplacidae
Description: tRNA-Leu for anticodon CAA
Rfam family: tRNA
About the family: Transfer RNA (tRNA) molecules are approximately 80 nucleotides in length. Their secondary structure includes four short double-helical elements and three loops (D, anti-codon, and T loops).
Source: Rfam by way of RNAcentral
GUCAGGAUGGCCGAGCGGUCUAAGGCGCCAGACUCAAGACUCAAUAUGUCUUCUCGUAAUAUAGCGCGAGAGAGAAUUCUGGUCCACGUAUGUGGGCGUGGGUUCGAAUCCCACUUCUGACA